ACGAAAUAUUCUAGCCUUAUCGGUGGAUCACUCGGCUCGUGGAUCGAUGAAGAACGCAGCCAACUGCGAUAAUUAGUGUGAACUGCAGAAACCUUGAACACAGAACUUUCGAAUGCACAUUGCGCCAUUGGAGUGACAUCCAUUGGCACGCCUGGUUCAGGGUCGUAA
This 168-nucleotide ribosomal RNA is filed under the name Globodera sp. 1 SAS-2010. RNAcentral's name for it is "5.8S ribosomal RNA". It matches the Rfam family "5.8S ribosomal RNA". From Rfam's summary of the family: 5.8S ribosomal RNA (5.8S rRNA) is a component of the large subunit of the eukaryotic ribosome. The record is from RNAcentral. Lineage: Eukaryota; Metazoa; Nematoda; Chromadorea; Rhabditida; Heteroderidae.